RNAcentral lists this unclassified non-coding RNA (328 nucleotides) under soil metagenome. RNAcentral's name for it is "partial contains 5.8S ribosomal RNA, internal transcribed spacer 2, and large subunit ribosomal RNA". The stretch from base 1 to 120 matches the Rfam family "5.8S ribosomal RNA", at positions 35 to 154 of the family's 154-position model. The record is from RNAcentral.
GAUGAAGAACGCAGCGAAAUGCGAUAAGUAAUGUGAAUUGCAGAAUUCAGUGAAUCAUCGAAUCUUUGAACGCACAUUGCGCCCUCUGGUAUUCCGGGGGGCAUGCCUGUUCGAGCGUCAUUAUAACCACUCAAGCUCUCGCUUGGUAUUGGAGUUCGCGAUCUCGCGGCUCCUAAAAUCAGUGGCGGUGCCUGUCGGCUCUACGCGUAGUAAUACUCCUCGCGAUUGAGUCCGGUAGGUUUACUUGCCAGCAACCCCCAAUUUUUACAGGUUGACCUCGGAUCAGGUAGGGAUACCCGCUGAACUUAAGCAUAUCAAUAAGCGGAGG